RNAcentral lists this long non-coding RNA (323 nucleotides) under Sinocyclocheilus grahami. RNAcentral describes it as "lncRNA (ENSSGRG00000000552.1)". The record is from RNAcentral. Lineage: Eukaryota; Metazoa; Chordata; Actinopteri; Cypriniformes; Cyprinidae.
GGAGUUGAGAGCAGCCCAGGUGAGCGGUGUGACCUGUGACUCUGAAGACGCGGAGGACUCAGAUGACAUGUUGGACUUCCCAGGAGCAGAGAAGUUACUAUCUAAGCAAUCGCAAGGUCUGGAUGCUGAUUCGCCGGCUGAGGGCACCUCUCAAGAGAAUCCUGCCAUGGUAGAGCAGCUUCGCAGAAAAGUAGAGGAAAUUACCUCCCAGAAUGCCGACCUGGUUCUCAAAGUGCAGAUGCUGGAAAUGUUUGAGAAGGAUGACACGGAUAUGCAGAGCUCGGGCCCAGAUUUUGUUCCCACAGCUCAGUAUGAAUCUUUAA